CACCUACUGCAACCCUCCUCUUUUCUCGAGCCUUGGGACUGGCGCCAAGUGUGCACUUUAGGCGUCUAAAAGAUAACAUUUUGUUGGCUAGUGGGCCAAUUGGAUGUGUUUAUUUCUUUGCAAGUAUAUUUUGACUGGUCUAUAUGAUGAUGUAAUUAGCUUAACUACAUAGAUUCAUAUCAAUCUAAAAGAGAAUUGAGUUGUCUCACUAUUUUAAUACAUCAUCUUCAUCUUUUUUUUCCCCCUCUUUUUGUUGUUGACCUCUAUUUUUUCUUAUUCUUUAUCUCCUAGGAAUCAUGUGUUUUAUAUAUAUAUAUAACACAUUGGGUUAGAGGACAGAAAGAAAAGAAGUGGUAGAUCUAAAUUGACUUGGAG
Molecule: unclassified non-coding RNA, 375 nt
Filed under: Hevea brasiliensis (rubber tree)
Lineage: Eukaryota; Viridiplantae; Streptophyta; Magnoliopsida; Malpighiales; Euphorbiaceae
Source: RNAcentral